Ahaetulla prasina is the source of this 1584-nucleotide long non-coding RNA. RefSeq lists it as uncharacterized. The record is from RefSeq and is a predicted model, not a curated record. NCBI's taxonomy places the organism in Eukaryota, Metazoa, Chordata, Lepidosauria, Squamata, Colubridae. The transcript has 3 exons.
UAUUUCAUGGCUCAUGUGACAUUAAGUGAGCUCACUUUUGUUAAUAGCAGACAGGUGUCUAAACCAUAAAACUCAAGAGCUCUUCUAACACAAUUCAUCCAUUCCAGUAGCAAUAUUAGAGAAGUCAACAAAACUAAGAAAGACGCCACAUAAUAUUUUCUGUCUGGGAGCUGCAGCUGAUGCUUUUCGGCUUCAGGUUUCAGACAUCACGGAAGAAAUAAAUUGAAAUUGGAAUGGUUGAAAGACAGAAAACUCACCUCCCAAGAUUUUAAUAGUUUGAGCCUGCCCAGCUCCUAUUUGAAAAGAAGAGAAUUCAAAGAGACUUCUGAAGAGCCUUUGAAAUAGAUGGCAAAAUUCCAGCUUAAAUAUUUUUCUUAACAAAGAAUCGAUUGCAGCAGAUGGAGCAUGCAAGAGCUGAGAAAGCAUAUGUACAAAUGCUGUGAGGCAUGGAAAAGGAGGAACAAACGUAACAGGGUUCCCAUAAAACAUAACCUUUGCGAAGGAAGGAAGGAAAGUAAAUCCAGGUUGUGGUGCUUUUAGAAUAACUGAUACAGGCUUAGAAAAACUUGACUCAAGUUUUAAAAUUAACUACUAUCUUGGGGAAUGGCAGCUGGUCAAAGACUGCACAUGGAAAAGCCCUAAAAAGUAUUUUGCCUGAAGAGUGUAUGUAAUGAAUAAUCACCCAGUGAAUGAAUAGUCACCCAAAUCCCUACCUUUGGAAGGAAAGUUAAAAAAAAAAUAGAAGCACAUGCAAAUGUAAUUCAAAAUGCAUAAAUGUAUAUAGGCUUCUGUUGACUCAGGUCACGAUUUCAUCUCUAGCUUAGUAAAAAUGACUUACAUCUGAUUGGAGGCUUAUUAGUCUGAGAGAGAUGGAGCAUGAGAUUUCCUAGAAUGAUACCUUUUAAAAUAGAGAGGCAGUAAUGGGAAUGUGGUUAUUCCCAUGAAGGGGAUCUCUAAAUGUUCCACUCCUGAUCCUAAUGUUUCCUUCUACCACUUCUUCAUAGAAGUAUCAGAUUCAACAAGUGUUACCAUUAGCCACUUGUCUUCAAAAAAAUCUUACACAGACUUGGUUCACUUAGGAAGAGGUAAGUGGUAAUUCUCCUUCUUUUGAUAACUGUUUGAGCUGAAAGAUUUGUGCUAAAAGAGUUGUUUUGGUAUAGUGGUUAAGGCACUAGAUUAGAAAGUGGCAGACCAUGAGUUCAAGACACAUCUUAGCCAUGAAAGUCAAUUGGGUGACUUUGGGCCAGUCAUUCUCAGCCCAGCCCAUCUUGCUGUUGUUGUUGUUGUUGUUCUGGGAACAAUAGGAGGAGAAAGGCAUGCUGGGUAUGUUCACCACCUUAUUUAUAAAAAUAAUAAAGUAUAUUAUAAGUAUAUAAGUAUAAGACAAAAUGGAGCAAGUCCUUCCUCUUUUUAAAAGCCCACUGAAAGGAGAAAUAAGCAAUUGCUUUUUUGAAUGUCUUUGCCUGUAGUGGGUUCCACUUAUCUUUGCUACUGGUUUGGAACCAGGAGUGUGUGUGUGCGUGAAUGAGCUUUGCUUGCAUGCAACACUUUUGCACAUGCGCAGAACCUUCUACACAUGCGCAA